Molecule: non-coding RNA, 66 nt
Organism: Podarcis lilfordi (Lilford's wall lizard)
Lineage: Eukaryota; Metazoa; Chordata; Lepidosauria; Squamata; Lacertidae
Source: the annotation of a GenBank genome assembly
GCUCUCAGUUGGUAGAGCAAGAGGCUCUCCAUUUCAGGGUUGUGGGUUCGAGCCCCACAUUGGGCA